RNAcentral lists this ribosomal RNA (427 nucleotides) under uncultured bacterium. RNAcentral's name for it is "partial 16S ribosomal RNA". It matches the Rfam family "Bacterial small subunit ribosomal RNA", at positions 354 to 796 of the family's 1533-position model. The record is from RNAcentral.
GUGGGGAAUAUUGGGCAAUGGGGGCAACCCUGACCCAGCGACGCCGCGUGAGGGAAGAAGGCCUUAGGGUCGUAAACCUCUGUUGUGUGGGAAGAAGGAAGUGACGGUACCACACGAGGAAGUCCCGGCUAACUACGUGCCAGCAGCCGCGGUAAUACGUAGGGGACGAGCGUUGUCCGGAAUUACUGGGCGUAAAGGGCGCGUAGGCGGUCAUUUAAGUCAGCUGUGAAAUGGUCCGGCUCAACCGGAUCAUGCGGUUGAAACUGGAUGACUGGAGUGCUGGAGAGACAAGUGGAAUUCCCAGUGUAGCGGUGAAAUGCGUAGAUAUUGGGAAGAACACCGGUGGCGAAGGCGACUUGCUGGUCAGCAACUGACGCUGAGGCGCGAAAGCCAGGGGAGCAAACGGGAUUAGAAACCCCAGUAGUCC